RNAcentral lists this ribosomal RNA (492 nucleotides) under uncultured bacterium. RNAcentral describes it as "partial 16S ribosomal RNA". It matches the Rfam family "Bacterial small subunit ribosomal RNA", at positions 29 to 507 of the family's 1533-position model. The record is from RNAcentral.
AGUGAACGCUGGCGGUAGGCCUAACACAUGCAAGUCGAACGGCAGCACAGUAAGAGCUUGCUCUUACGGGUGGCGAGUGGCGGACGGGUGAGGAAUACAUCGGAAUCUACUUUUUCGUGGGGGAUAACGUAGGGAAACUUACGCUAAUACCGCAUACGACCUACGGGUGAAAGCAGGGGAUCUUCGGACCUUGCGCGAUUGAAUGAGCCGGUGUCGGAUUAGCUAGUUGGCGGGGUAAAGGCCCACCAAGGCGACGAUCCGUAGCUGGUCUGAGAGGAUGAUCAGCCACACUGGAACUGAGACACGGUCCAGACUCCUACGGGAGGCAGCAGUGGGGAAUAUUGGACAAUGGGCGCAAGCCUGAUCCAGCCAUACCGCGUGGGUGAAGAAGGCCUUCGGGUUGUAAAGCCCUUUUGUUGGGAAAGAAAAGCAGCAGGUUAAUACCCCGAUGUUCUGACGGUACCCAAAGAAUAAGCACCGGCUAACUUCGUG